Molecule: non-coding RNA, 160 nt
Organism: Picea glauca (white spruce)
Lineage: Eukaryota; Viridiplantae; Streptophyta; Pinopsida; Pinales; Pinaceae
Source: Rfam
AUACUUACCUGGGUGGGGUUGAUCGAUGAUCAUGAAGGUCGAUGGCCUAGGAAGGCCACCUCCAUUGCACUUGGGAGGGGGGUCUACCUAGCAUCUCCCACUGAGGAGAGUGCACGUCAUAAUUUGUGGCAGCGGAGGUUCUCGUUCACGCGGCCUCCAC